UACGUAGGUGGCAAGCGUUAUCCGGAAUUACUGGGCGUAAAGGGCUCGUAGGUGGCCAACUAAGUCAGACGUGAAAUCCCUCGGCUUAACCGGGGAACUGCGUCUGAUACUGGAUGGCUUGAGUUUGGGAGAGGGAUGCGGAAUUCCAGGUGUAGCGGUGAAAUGCGUAGAUAUCUGGAGGAACACCGGUGGCGAAGGCGGCAUCCUGGACCAAUACUGACACUGAGGAGCGAAAGCCAGGGGAGCAAACGGG
RNAcentral lists this ribosomal RNA (253 nucleotides) under uncultured bacterium. RNAcentral's name for it is "partial 16S ribosomal RNA". It matches the Rfam family "Bacterial small subunit ribosomal RNA", at positions 524 to 776 of the family's 1533-position model. The record is from RNAcentral.